GGAGCCGAAUGGCGCCCUGCUGGGACCUGGACCUGGCACUGGCUGCGAGUCUCUCCGGCUUUCUGGGUCCCGGUAGCUUGCUCGCUGUGUGACCCUCCGCAAGUGUGCACACUUCUCUGAGCCUCAGCGGCCUCUGGCAAAAUGGUAGAGAACAUAAGAGCUGUAAGACAAACUAGGAGCGGCACAGAGUACCGCUUAAGAGCGAGGACUCGAGUCCUCACUCUGCCACCAGAUAACAUCGGUAAUCUAGCGAUAAUGAUAGUACCACCUCAUAGGUUUGUUAUGAAGAUUAAGUGAGUUAAUAUUUGUAAAGUGUUUAGAACAGCGUCUGUUAUGUGGUAAGUGGUAUUUAAGUAUUUGUUAGACAGACUACGGGAGGUCUUGCUCCGGGAUUUUCUCCCGUCCCCUCUCCACCCCCACAUUCCUGUUUCUAAGCCAGGCCUUGCUUUAGCACAGGCUGGGCCCUUUGCCUGCAAAACCAUACCCAUCUCUUCUCUGGACUUUAAUAUCAACUCCUCUGUGACGCCUUCCUCUACGCCUGACAGUACAAGUGAAUCUAUGAUAACAGACAGGCAUGUUCUGUGCCCCAUGGCAGAAUAUGACCACCACACAAUGCCAGAAUUUACCUGGGACCAUUUCAACAACCCUCAAGGCUGACUUGACUGUCUUCUGGUCUUGAUUCUAAGUUUCUAGAUGAGACAAGCAGAUCGGCUAAGUUUGGGUGAGAUGUCUGUCCUGGGUUCUAUUGGCUGUGAUCUGGUGAUGGGUCAUAGAAAAUAAACAAGGCUGGCAGUCCUCACCUCUGUGUGAGCGUGGGGUGGAGGAAGGAUGUUUGACUCCUGGUCACAUAGGCAAACAUGUGCAUCUGUUAAAAAGGUUAUUGAAUGGAGAGUUACGUUCAUUGACAUGGAAGGUCC
Molecule: long non-coding RNA, 917 nt
Filed under: Camelus dromedarius (Arabian camel)
Lineage: Eukaryota; Metazoa; Chordata; Mammalia; Artiodactyla; Camelidae
Description: lncRNA (ENSCDRG00005006899.1)
Source: RNAcentral